Molecule: ribosomal RNA, 599 nt
Filed under: uncultured bacterium
Lineage: Bacteria
Description: bacterial SSU rRNA
Rfam family: Bacterial small subunit ribosomal RNA
Source: RNAcentral
UACGGGAGGCGGCAGUGAGGAAUAUUGGUCAAUGGGCGAAAGCCUGAACCAGCCAUGCCGCGUGCAGGAUGACAGUCCUACGGAUUGUAAACUGCUCUUCUGCAAGAAGAAACCUAUUGACGUGUCAGUAGUUGACGGUACUGCAGGAAUAAGCAUCGGCUAACUCCGUGCCAGCAGCCGCGGUAAUACGGAGGAUGCAAGCGUUAUCCGGAUUCAUUGGGUUUAAAGGGUGCGCAGGCGGGAUAAUAAGUCAGAGGUGAAAGCCUACAGCUUAACUGUAGAAUUGCCUUUGAUACUGUUGUCCUUGAGUUCAGUUGAGGAGGGCGGAAUGUGUAAUGUAGCGGUGAAAUGCAUAGAUAUUACACAGAACACCGAUUGCGAAGGCAGCUCUCUAAACUGAGACUGACGCUGAGGCACGAAAGCGUGGGGAGCGGAACAGGAUUAGAUACCCUGGUAGUCCACGCUGUAAACUAUGAUCACUCGUUGUUGGCGAUACACUGUCAGCGACUUAGCGAAAGCGUUAGUGAUCCACCUGGGGGAGUACGAUCGCAAGGUUGAAACUCAAAGGAAUGACGGGGCCCGCACAGCGGUGGAACAUG